ACAGUGUCUAGAUCAGUCAGGGAUGUGUGUGCAGCUCUGUGCCAGUUCAAAGACCAUGUACUUAAGUGGCCUUCCCUGGAGGAAAGUCAACGAGGGAAGACAAUUUUUUUUUGCCAUAUCUGGCUUUCCCUCGGUCAUUGGGGCAGUGGAUGGCACCCACAUCAAAUUGCAGGAUGAGCCAUCGUAUGUAAACAGGAAAGGAUAUAAAUGUGCAAGGUGUGUGUGAUGCUGAUGGCAAGUUCCUGAACAUUAAUGCUGCAUGGCCUGGCUGUUCACAUGAUGCCCAUGUCUUCAGAAACUCUCAGGUUUGCCUGCAACUUGAGCAGCACCAACAUUGGGAGAAUGGGGUCCUUUUAGGGGAUUCUGCCGACCUUUCCUCCUAACCCCGUAGCUUAACCCCCAGAACGCUCAACAACAGCGUUACAACGUGGCUCACGCAAGGACAAGGAGCAUGCACUAUUGAAAGGACGUUUGGGAGAUGGAAAAGAUGCUUCCAUGUCUUUCACUCAGAGAUUUGCAUGAAACCUGAGAGGGUGGUGAAGGUGAUUGUUGCCUGUGCGGUACUUAACAACAUUACCAUCACCUUGCAGGAGCCUGUAAUGGAUGAGGAUAUCAACCAUAUGCAAGCUGGGGAUGAUGUCUAUGAAGGACCCCAGGUUGGCCGUACUGUCAGGGACCCCAUAUCUAGGACUUUUUUUAACUUCUAGUUAUAUGUCUGAUAUGUAAGGAAAAAUUGGGGGCGCGUGGAGUGCCCCUUCUCCAUGAAGGUGAAAGAUAGUUAGGGGGCAUGCGGAGUGCCCCUACUCCAUGAAGGUGAAAGAUAGUUAGGGGGCGCGAGGAGUGCCCCUACUCCAUGUAGGUGAAAGAUAGUUAAGGGGUGCCUGGAGUGCCCCUACUCCAUGUAGGUGAAAGAUAGUUAGGGGGCGCGCGGAGUGCCCCUACUCCAUGUGGGUGAAAGAUAGUUGGGGGGCGCGCGGAGUGCCCCUACUCCAUGUAGAUGAAAGAAAGUUAGGGGGCGUGCGGAGUGCGCCAACUUGAUGUAGGUGAAACAACUAACCUUGAAUUGCUUUCAAGUUUAGAGGGGACAAAUGUGUUGAACAAUCCAAACAACCUCUUCUUAAGAACUAUAAGUCCAAGACUCCUGAUACUUCAGCAUGAUAGGGCCAAAUACAAUCAAGUAUAAAUGACCAUAAUCCACUUUCAAGGUCACAUGAUAGACAACUUCCGAUGACUAAUUUUACGUGUACAUAUAUAUAUAUGUGGAUAACAGUCAGGGAAAUUUGAUUCGUGACUUUGCUUGCUGGGUUACGUGCUAUUAUGUUAGGUCAAGUGAAUGACCUUGACUUAUGUUGAAGCUCAAAGAUGUCAAAUGUUUUAAACAUUUCAGACAACUUCUACAAAACCACGAGGCUCUAAAUCAGAUCAGUUUAAAUACUACAUAUAUAAUGUAUUAUUCAAGGUCUCAAGGAUCAGAUAAGUUUUUAAGAUUUUUUUUAAAUGUAUUGCACACUGAGCCUUCAAUUUUGCUAUGACAUAUUCCAGGGGUGUAAAGAGCGAAAGUGAGCGUAACCCCUGGAUAUGGAGGAUGGAGUGGAACCUUCUUGAUUAUAACUGAUGCAGUGGUACCCUUAACCCUUUCGCCACUGUAGACCACAAUUGACUCAUCCAAAUCAAUGCAUGGAAGAGUUUAUUGAAGUUACAUAGGGGUGAAAGGGUUAACUUUAAGUGAUGUGCUGUAUGCUUAUAUCAGACAUAGUCAUGCUCAGACUCCAGGCUUAAAGCCAUCGGGCCUGUUUAAGGUAGCCCGGGCCAACCCGGGGUUAAUAGUCAUAACAUUUAUAAACAUUUAUUGUUUUAAAUACAUUCAUUAUUCACAAAAACAACAAUAAAAACAUAC
This 1897-nucleotide long non-coding RNA is filed under the name Mizuhopecten yessoensis (Yesso scallop). Its description in RNAcentral is "uncharacterized LOC110462133". The record is from RNAcentral. Lineage: Eukaryota; Metazoa; Mollusca; Bivalvia; Pectinida; Pectinidae.